RNAcentral lists this ribosomal RNA (506 nucleotides) under uncultured bacterium. RNAcentral's name for it is "partial 16S ribosomal RNA". It matches the Rfam family "Bacterial small subunit ribosomal RNA", at positions 28 to 523 of the family's 1533-position model. The record is from RNAcentral.
GAUGAACGCUAGCUACAGGCUUAACACAUGCAAGUCGAGGGGUAACAAGAGAAAAGCUUGCUUUUCUUGUUGACGACCGGCGCACGGGUGAGUAACGCGUAUCCAACCUGCCUAUAACUAGGGAAUAACCUUGCGAAAGUAAGACUAAUACCCUAUGAUUUCCUUUGAUGACAUCGGAUUAGGAAUAAAGAUUUAUCGGUUAUAGAUGGGGAUGCGUUUGAUUAGCUUGUUGGCGGGGUAACGGCCCACCAAGGCAACGAUCAGUAGGGGUUCUGAGAGGAAGGUCCCCCACAUUGGAACUGAGACACGGUCCUAACUCCUACGGGAGGCAGCAGUGAGGAAUAUUGGUCAAUGGGCGGAAGCCUGAACCAGCCAAGUAGCGUGCAGGAUGACGGCCCUAUGGGUUGUAAACUGCUUUUAUACAGGAAUAAAGUUAGCCACGUGUGGUUAUUUGUAGGUACUGUAUGAAUAAGGACCGGCUAAUUCCGUGCCAGCCGCCGCGGUAA